CCUUCGGGGUACUCUAGCGGCGAACGGGUGAGUAACACGUGAGCAACCUGCCCUAGGCUUUGGGAUAACCCUCGGAAACGGGGGCUAAUACCGAAUAUGACCUCGCAUCGCAUGGUGUGUGGUGGAAAGUUUUUCGGCCUGGGAUGGGCUCGCGGCCUAUCAGCUUGUUGGUGGGGUGAUGGCCUACCAAGGCGACCACGGGUAGCCGGCCUGAAAGGGCGACCGGCCACACUGGGACUGAAACACGGCCCAAACUCCUACGGAGGCAGCAGUGGGGAAUAUUGCCAAUGGGCGGAAGCCUGAUGCAGCGACGCCGCUGAGGGAUGACGCCUUCGGUUGUAAACCUCUUUCAGCAGGGACGAAGCGUAAGUGACGGUACCUGCAGAAGAAGCGCCGGCCAACUACUGCCAGCAGCCGCGGUAAGACGUAGGGCGCGAGCGUUGUCCGGAUUUAUUGGGCGUAAAGAGCUCGUAGGCGGCUUGUUCGCGUCGACCGUGAAAACCUGGGGCUCAACCCCAGGCCUGCGGUCGAUACGGGCAGGCUAGAGUUCGGUAGGGGAGACUGGAAUUCCUGGUGUAGCGGUGAAAUGCGCAGAUAUCAGGAGGAACACCGGUGGCGAAGCGGGUCUCUGGGCCGAUACUGACGCUGAGGAGCGAAAGCGUGGGGAGCGAACAGGAUUAGAUACCCUGGUAGUCCACGCUGUAAACGGUUGGGCGCUAGUGUGGGGGGCCUCUCCGGUUCCCUGUGCCGCAGCUAACGCAUUAAGCGCCCCGCCUGGGGAGUACGGCGCAAGCUAAAACUCAAAGGAAUUGACGGGGCCCGCACAAGCGGCGGAGCAUGCGGAUUAAUUCGAUGCACGCGAGACCUUACCUGGGUUUGACAUGGCCGCAAAACCUCCAGAGAUGGGGGGUCCUUCGGGGGCGGUCACAGGUGUGCAUGGCUGUCGUCAGCUCGUGUCGUGAGAUGUUGGUUAAGUCCCGCAACGAGCGCAACCCUCGUUCCAUGUUGCCAGCGCGUUAUGGCGGGGACUCAUGAAGACUGCCGGGGUCAACUCGGAGGAAGGUGGGGAUGACGUCAAGUCAUCAUGCCCCUUAUGUCCAGGGCUUCACGCAUGCUACAAUGGCCGGUACAAUGGGCUGCGAUACCGUGAGGUGGAGCGAAUCCCAAAAAGCCGGUCUCAGUUCGGAUCGGGGUCUGCAACUCGACCCCGUGAAGUCGGAGUCGUUAGUAAUCGCAGAUCAGCAACGCUGCGGUGAAUUCGUUCCCGGGC
RNAcentral lists this ribosomal RNA (1270 nucleotides) under Micromonospora sp. RNAcentral describes it as "bacterial SSU rRNA". It matches the Rfam family "Bacterial small subunit ribosomal RNA", at positions 77 to 1379 of the family's 1533-position model. The record is from RNAcentral. Lineage: Bacteria; Bacillati; Actinomycetota; Actinomycetes; Micromonosporales; Micromonosporaceae.